GAGUUUGAUCCUGGYUCAGGACGAACGCUGGCGGCACGCCUAACACAUGCAAGUCGAACGGAGAUAUUUUGGUUUACUGAGAUAUYUUAGUGGCGGACGGGUGAGUAACACGUGAGCAACCUGCCUYUGAGAGAGGGAUAGCUUCUGGAAACGGAUGGUAAUACCUCAUAACAUAAMGAAGCCGCAUGAMUUUGUUAUCAAAGAUUUAUCACUCAGAGAUGGGCUCGCGUCUGAUUAGAUAGUUGGUGAGGUAACGGCUCACCAAGUCGACGAUCAGUAGCCGGACUGAGAGGUUGAACGGCCACAUUGGGACUGAGACACGGCCCAGACUCCUACGGGAGGCAGCAGUGGGGAAUAUUGCACAAUGGGGGAAACCCUGAUGCAGCGAUGCCGCGUGGAGGAAGAAGGUUUUCGGAUUGUAAACUCCUGUCUUAAAGGACGAUAAUGACGGUACUUAA
Molecule: ribosomal RNA, 458 nt
Filed under: uncultured Bacillota bacterium
Lineage: Bacteria; Bacillati; Bacillota
Description: bacterial SSU rRNA
Source: RNAcentral